UAAAGUGCUUACAGUGCAGGUAGUGAUGAUAAUCUGGCCUACUGCAGUGUGAGCACUUCUUUC
Oreochromis niloticus (Nile tilapia) is the source of this 63-nucleotide microRNA precursor. Ensembl annotates it as oni-mir-106. Its record names the gene oni-mir-106. NCBI's taxonomy places the organism in Eukaryota, Metazoa, Chordata, Actinopteri, Cichliformes, Cichlidae. The record is from Ensembl.